CUUGGUCAUUUAGAGGAAGUAAAAGUCGUAACAAGGUCUCCGUUGGUGAACCAGCGGAGGGAUCAUUAGAGAGAGCCUAAGAAACUCCCGAAAACCCCAUGUGAACAUACCCGURCGUUGCCUCGGCGGUCCCCCCCCCCCGGGGGGCCCGCCGGCGGCCCCGAAACGAACCCUGUGAUAGAACUGAAUCUCUGAGCUUGUAUAAUAAAUUGAGUCAAAACUUUCAACAACGGAUCUCUUGGUUCUGGCAUCGAUGAAGAACGCAGCGAAAUGCGAUAAGUAAUGUGAAUUGCAGAAUUCAGUGAAUCAUCGAAUCUUUGAACGCACAUUGCGCCCGCCGGUAUUCUGGCGGGCAUGCCUGUUCGAGCGUCAUUUCAACCCCUUAAGCCCCUGUUGCUUAGCGUUGGGAGCCUACGGCCCGCCGUAGCUCCUCAAAGUCAGUGGCGGAGCCGGCCCCCCACCCCAGGCGUAGUAGUUCAUUCAAGCUCGCCCGCGGUAGGACCGGUCCCCUGCCGUAAAACACCCCAGUUUCUCGCAAGGUUGACCUCGGAUCAGGUAGGGAUACCCGCUGAACUUAAGCAUAUCAAUAAAGCGGAGGG
This 599-nucleotide ribosomal RNA is filed under the name fungal sp. ARIZ L262. RNAcentral describes it as "eukaryotic LSU rRNA". The stretch from base 219 to 372 matches the Rfam family "5.8S ribosomal RNA". The record is from RNAcentral. Lineage: Eukaryota; Fungi.